Limulus polyphemus (Atlantic horseshoe crab) is the source of this 348-nucleotide long non-coding RNA. RefSeq lists it as uncharacterized. The record is from RefSeq and is a predicted model, not a curated record. The transcript has 4 exons. NCBI's taxonomy places the organism in Eukaryota, Metazoa, Arthropoda, Merostomata, Xiphosura, Limulidae.
GGACUGAAGUCCAUCAGAUAUGGGUUCAAGAAAUGGAAGAAGAGCUGAAACAUAGAAAAGCAGGUGAAACCAAGUCCUUUAUGACCUGAAUUCCAUCAACAGUGGGAUCGAGAAAUAGAAGAGGAGGAAGGAAAACUGAAACAACUAGGACGUGAGGUAGAAAAGCAGAUGAAUCAAGUCCUGAUGUGCUUUUAUCUUCUACUUUGGAUCACUCUGUCUGUUGAUACAAGAGAAGAUGGAAGUGGUUAAUUUUUUAUGGUAGAAAAGAACUGAAGUCUAUCAGAUAUGACUUCGGGGAAUGGAAGAGGUGGGAGAAGAGCUGAAACAUAUAGAAAAUGAGGUAGAAAA